UGGGGAAUAUUGCACAAUGGGGGAAACCCUGAUGCAGCGACGCCGCGUGAAGGAAGAAGUAUCUCGGUAUGUAAACUUCUAUCAGCAGGGAAGAUAGUGACGGUACCUGACUAAGAAGCCCCGGCUAACUACGUGCCAGCAGCCGCGGUAAUACGUAGGGGGCAAGCGUUAUCCGGAUUUACUGGGUGUAAAGGGAGCGUAGACGGACUGGCAAGUCUGAUGUGAAAGGCGGGGGCUCAACCCCUGGACUGCAUUGGAAACUGUUAGUCUUGAGUGCCGGAGAGGUAAGCGGAAUUCCUAGUGUAGCGGUGAAAUGCGUAGAUAUUAGGAGGAACACCAGUGGCGAAGGCGGCUUACUGGACGGUAACUGACGUUGAGGCUCGAAAGCGUGGGGAGCAAACAGG
This 404-nucleotide ribosomal RNA is filed under the name uncultured bacterium. RNAcentral's name for it is "bacterial SSU rRNA". It matches the Rfam family "Bacterial small subunit ribosomal RNA", at positions 355 to 776 of the family's 1533-position model. RNAcentral also lists the same sequence under 1 other name. The record is from RNAcentral.